RNAcentral lists this ribosomal RNA (492 nucleotides) under uncultured bacterium. Its description in RNAcentral is "partial 16S ribosomal RNA". It matches the Rfam family "Bacterial small subunit ribosomal RNA", at positions 29 to 507 of the family's 1533-position model. The record is from RNAcentral.
AGUGAACGCUGGCGGUAGGCCUAACACAUGCAAGUCGAACGGCAGCACGGUAAGAGCUUGCUCUUACAGGUGGCGAGUGGCGGACGGGUGAGGAAUACAUCGGAAUCUACUUUUUCGUGGGGGAUAACGUAGGGAAACUUACGCUAAUACCGCAUACGACCUACGGGUGAAAGCAGGGGAUCUUCGGACCUUGCGCGAUUGAAUGAGCCGAUGUCGGAUUAGCUAGUUGGCGGGGUAAAGGCCCACCAAGGCGACGAUCCGUAGCUGGUCUGAGAGGAUGAUCAGCCACACUGGAACUGAGACACGGUCCAGACUCCUACGGGAGGCAGCAGUGGGGAAUAUUGGACAAUGGGCGCAAGCCUGAUCCAGCCAUACCGCGUGGGUGAAGAAGGCCUUCGGGUUGUAAAGCCCUUUUGUUGGGAAAGAAAAGCAGCAGGUUAAUACCCCGCUGUUCUGACGGUACCCAAAGAAUAAGCACCGGCUAACUUCGUG